CUGGGAGGUAGGGGGUCCCUCAGCCUGGAUUGCGAGAGGGCACAGGCUAGGCCGAGGGACCCCACUGGUGCACA
Non-coding RNA from Myotis brandtii (Brandt's bat), 74 nucleotides. The record is from Rfam. Lineage: Eukaryota; Metazoa; Chordata; Mammalia; Chiroptera; Vespertilionidae.